AUUUUUUUUUUCUGGAAAUAAAAACAGGACGAAGAUAUUUGAGAGAACGGCAGAGCUGAAGUUAUUUCAAUCAGAGCAGAGAGCAGUCUAAUUCUAGGUCUCCUUUGCGUGAUCAAUCCUCCAUCCCAACACCACGACUAGUAACCAUGACCUCCCUCUUGUAGAAUUUGGGGUGGCCACACACAAUGUGAAAGACAUAGAGGGCAGCCUGGCAAGUUUAUAAUUGCUAUGAGAACCUGACCUGGCGUCUGAGAGGUUCUAUUCUAACUUUGUUGUGUUGCAAGCAUGAUGUGGUAGAGACCAGGGCCACAUUAUGACUUUUGUGGACGCUUUUGCCUUUGUGGGUUCCCUCCUCCAUUAAAAAAAAACCUACAAGUUAUAUUUUACGAUUGCAUUGGUGUAAAGACAAAUAUAUUAAUAUUACACGCUAAUACAUUUUCUUCGACCUAGAAGAUCAUCUUUUCUUUUGAUUUUAAAAGAAAUGAAAACAUUUCUAUGGGCUCCUAAAAGUAUUGUGGGCUCCGAGCACUGUGCCUACUGUUCCUAAGAAAGACGCAAUCUUGAAGGUACCAUUCCUUGAUACUGAAUUUCCUCCUUCGGGGGGAAAAAAAAACCCAGUUAAAUUAAGAAGUACCGAGUUGACAUAGAGGCAGAAAGACACACAGUACAAGUUUAAGAAUUGAUAAUAAUGAAUAUCAGCAGAAAGUACCGGUUCCUACUUGUUUUGGUCAGGCUCUUGAGGUCUUAAAUCAGCUUCGAGUCAUUAAUGAUACCUGUGGAAAUAUGUCUGUGAAUGUGUCUUCAGCCCUUCCAGUAGCCAAAGACUUCCUCUAGAGAUCUCAUGACGGUUCCGAAUCCUUGGAUCAGGUAUGUGAGGUCUCUGUUGCCAGGACCUAGCCAGAAUACAACUAAAGACACAGCUGGGCAAUUAUAAUUGGGCAAGUUCAUGGAUGAGAGAUCCAUAAAGGUUUUGUGUGUGCUGAAGGGGUAUGUGUGUAUAAGGUAGGGAUUGAUAUCCUGGAAGGCAAUUACUAGCCUAUUUCUUUUGUUGGCCUCAUCACAACCCUGGGUUAAUGUUUGAUCCUCGCUGGCAGUUGUGAUUCAUAUUUGCUGCCCUUUGAGGAGCUUAUGUUUUCAGGAAAGACUAUAUUGAUUCAGAUUAAUGCAUAAUAAACAGGCAUUAUGGUCCCACAGAAGUGUACAGUGGCACCCUUCUGUAUUUUCAUCGUGACUGCCCUUGCAGAGAGACGGAAAAAAGAGAAGUCCAUAAUUAUAGAGCAGGUCUGGAGCGGGGAGAUGUCUGGGACAGAACUAAGACAUUAAUAUGGAAGAAUUGUAUUCAUAUGGUUAAAGGGAUGCCCAAGAAAAUGGAGAGAAGAAAGGAUAUGCCCAAAUAGCAGGAAAGAAACAAAAAAUCUUCCAGGGCUGCUCACGGUGAUUUUUGAGACCUCUGAUUUUAAUGAUUGGGGAUUUUAAGUAAGGACUCGAGAAACUUCCCAGGUCAGAUCUGAUUCUUUUAUCUUAUCUAUAUCUUGCUUUUCUAAUACAGCAUCUCCUCAUGAUCUAGUUUUCACAUACUUGCCAGAUGGAUGAUUCCUUUAUUUAUCCAAUCAACAUCUAUUAAGCACC
RNAcentral lists this long non-coding RNA (1629 nucleotides) under Canis lupus familiaris (dog). RNAcentral's name for it is "lncRNA (ENSCAFG00000055767.1)". Lineage: Eukaryota; Metazoa; Chordata; Mammalia; Carnivora; Canidae. The record is from RNAcentral.